UGGGGAAUAUUGCGCAAUGGGGGGAACCCUGACGCAGCCAUGCCGCGUGAAUGAAGAAGGCCUUAGGGUUGUAAAGUUCUUUCGGUAUUGAGGAAGGUUGAUGUGUUAAUAGCACAUCAAAUUGACGUUAAAUACAGAAGAAGCACCGGCUAACUCCGUGCCAGCAGCCGCGGUAAUACGGAGGGUGCGAGCGUUAAUCGGAAUAACUGGGCGUAAAGGGCACGCAGGCGGUUAUUUAAGUGAGGUGUGAAAGCCCCGGGCUUAACCUGGGAAUUGCAUUUCAGACUGGGUAACUAGAGUACUUUAGGGAGGGGUAGAAUUCCACGUGUAGCGGUGAAAUGCGUAGAGAUGUGGAGGAAUACCGAAGGCGAAGGCAGCCCCUUGGGAAUGUACUGACGCUCAUGUGCGAAAGCGUGGGGAGCAAACAGGAUUAGAUACCCUGGUAGUCCACGCUGUAAACGCUGUCAAUUUGGGGGUUGGGGUUUAACUCUGGCGCCCGUAGCUAACGUGAUAAAUCGACCGCCUGGGGAGUACGGCCGCAAGGUUA
This 547-nucleotide ribosomal RNA is filed under the name uncultured bacterium. RNAcentral's name for it is "bacterial SSU rRNA". It matches the Rfam family "Bacterial small subunit ribosomal RNA", at positions 355 to 896 of the family's 1533-position model. The record is from RNAcentral.